This is an RNA transcript of Eucalyptus grandis, 770 nucleotides long. It is a transcript of the gene named late embryogenesis abundant protein D-34, with no coding region annotated. NCBI's taxonomy places the organism in Eukaryota, Viridiplantae, Streptophyta, Magnoliopsida, Myrtales, Myrtaceae. The transcript is spliced from 3 exons. The record is from RefSeq and is a predicted model, not a curated record.
AUGAGCCAGGAACAGCCCCGGAGGCCCCAGGGCGGCGCCGACCCCAUCAAGUACGGCGACGUGUUCGACGUCUCCGGCGAGCUCAAGGGGAAGCCGAUCGCACCACAGGACGCGGCCACCAUGCAGGCCGCCGAGAACAUGGUGCUGGGCGGCACCCGGCAGGGUGGGGUCGCUGCCGUCAUGCAGUCGGCAGCAGACGUGAACGUGCGGACUGGGGCAGUGAGGCCUGGCCAGGUGAGCGACGUCGCGAGGACCAGGGCGUGACUAUCUCGCAGGCUAACAUCGGCAGCAGGCGAGUCGUUAGUGAGGUAGUCGGCGGCCAGGUUGUGGGUGGAUACGUCCAACCGGCCGUGGACACUGGAAAGCCGGGAGGAGCUCUCGACCGCGACGCCAUAACCAUCGGCGAAGCGCUGGAAGCGUCCGCUCUCUCUGCAGGAGACAAGCCACUGGAGCAGAGCGACGCAGCCGCAAUACAAGCUGCCGAGGUAAGAGCCACCGGCUCCAACGGGACUAUGCCUGGAGGAUCGCAUCGCUCGCUCAGGCUGCUGCAACGCAACGCCAGGACCGCGGCCAAUGAAGACAAAACCAAGCUCGCCGAUGUUUUGACGAUUGCGACGGACGUACUGCCAGGGGACAAGGCGGUGACGCGGGAGGACGCCGACAGGGUGAUUGUGGCCGAGAUGAGGAACAAAGUUGAGAUGACAACGACCCCCGGCGGUGUGGCAGAGUCCAUGGCGGCGGCCGCCAGGCUUGACCAGAACAAACGAUAG